AGAUUGGCCCAAGAUUUCUCACAUUCCCUUCGUGGAAAUCGACAAUGUUACCAUCAGUGAGAUAAAAGGCUAGACAGAUUCUCUUUUCUUGCAUCCGUCCAAUCCAGCAAGAUAAGGGUUCUGAUACAAAAUUUCCUUCUUUAUGCAUUAGACGCUCAUUGAGUUCAUCUUUCAACACUGGCACUGGUUCUCUCAACAAAAAUUCAAUCCUCGCCAAGGAUACUGGAGCCAGUUUGUUCAGGCUUGACAAAGAGUGAGAACCACUGAGUGUAGCAUGAUGUGAUUCACUGUUUACUAUAGCAAACAGGCUUCUUAAGGGUUCUAGUGGUAAAGAACAUACCAUGUAUCAAUUUACCUGACUGUUGAUGGAAGAGCUACACAUGUCGCCUUGGCAUGGUCAGUCCCGUCACUGCUGUAAUGUUGUGGCAUAGAUACUGGCUCAGGUAAAGAUCCUAUUCUUAUUAUUAUUAUUAUUGUUAGAUCUAUCAUUUACAUUUUUUCUAUAAAAUUUGAGGCUUUGUCAAAGCAAACUAAUUUAUUAUCACCCUAUGUUCUAUGGACUUGAGUCGGUGUAUGAAGGACUCAGGAAGAGGAGCACUCUAAAAUCAUAAAUCGUAGUUUUACUCAAGCUGUGAAAUGUGAACUCUGAACCUCUUCAUCUUCAUGCAUGGUCAAGGAGUGACAAUCGUUCCACAAGUGCACCAUUACAGGCCUUUGUAGCUGCAGAUUUUAGGCACCUUUACCAACUGGGGUCUUGUCGAUUCUAUUGGCUCGCCCAAUGAGGAGUGAGGAGCAAUCUUUGAUGAUUUUGUUAUGAUGCAACUUUAUUCAAAUAUGAUUUUAUUUGGUCGAAUUGCAACUCGACCGAAAAUUCCAUGAUGCAAUGCAAAUUGAAUAUUUUGAGAGAUUUGUGUAGAUUAGUAUAAAUAUUGUAAACUUUACUUGCAGUAUGUAAGAUUUUAGUCAAUCUAUCAGUAUUUUUGUUUGGAGAUUUUACAAAGGUUGUAACUUUCUGUCUAUGAUAUUGGAAUUUUU
Molecule: unclassified non-coding RNA, 1035 nt
Filed under: Hevea brasiliensis (rubber tree)
Lineage: Eukaryota; Viridiplantae; Streptophyta; Magnoliopsida; Malpighiales; Euphorbiaceae
Source: RNAcentral